RNAcentral lists this small RNA (26 nucleotides) under Bombyx mori (domestic silkworm). RNAcentral's name for it is "ovarian small RNA-19546". Lineage: Eukaryota; Metazoa; Arthropoda; Insecta; Lepidoptera; Bombycidae. The record is from RNAcentral.
UAAUACGAUGGGCUGUCUGGUGACGG